CCCUUAGAUGUCCGGGGCCGCACGCGCGCUACACUGAAGGAAUCAGCGUGGCUUUCUCCCUGACCCGAAAGGGUUGGGAAACCCGUUGAAUCUCCUUCGUGAUAGGGAUUGGGGCUUGAAAUUGUUCCCCAUGAACGAGGAAUUCCCAGUAAACGCGAGUCAUCAGCUCGCAUUGAUUACGUCCCUGCCCUUUGUACACACCGCCCGUCGCACCUACCGAUUGAAUGUUUCGGUGAAGAUUCCGGAUAGGACUUUUUUGAUUUAUUUCAAUUUUGUCUUAAAAGCUAUCUAAACCUCAACAUUUAGAGGAAGGUGAAGUCGUAACA
RNAcentral lists this ribosomal RNA (326 nucleotides) under uncultured eukaryote. RNAcentral's name for it is "partial 18S ribosomal RNA". It matches the Rfam family "Eukaryotic small subunit ribosomal RNA", at positions 1470 to 1796 of the family's 1831-position model. The record is from RNAcentral.